GAUGAGAAAAUUGAAGUUGAAAUUGAACAUGGUGAUGAUGGAUCCAAUAGUAACAAGAAUAAUGAAUCAGCAGCAUCAUUUUCUGGUUCUGUGUUCAAUCUAUCAACAACUAUUAUUGGUGCUGGAAUCAUGGCUUUACCUGCAGCCAUGAAAGUUUUGGGACUAACCAUUGGUAUUGCUUCAAUCAUAUUCCUUGCUUUGCUUAGUCAUACCUCUUUGGAUAUUCUCAUGAGGUUUAGUAGAGUUGCUAAGGCUCAAUCUUAUGGUGAUGUCAUGGGAUAUGCUUUUGGAAGUCUUGGUAGAUUGCUUUUUCAGAUUUCUGUUCUUUUUAACAACUUUGGUAUUCUUGUUGUUUACAUCAUCAUCAUUGGUAAUUCAAUUCUCUACACUUAUAUCAUGUUUAUCCAUUAAAUUUUAUUUAAUAAAUGAAUUUAAUCUGUAUGUACUUUCUGUGUAAAACUUUUAGGAAGUGAUAUAACAAAAUGUGAUUUCAUUGAGCGUAUGUGUCAAAUGUAUUACACUGUCGGUGUGUAUAAAUUACAUGCCUUAAAAAUUGGUUAAAUUGAAUGUUUUAGGCUACUUGAUUUUCAGGUGAUGUACUGUCUGGAACAACUUCAUCUGGAAGUCAUCACUUCGGUGUACUUAAAGGAUGGUUUGGCGAACACUGGUCGACUGGGCGUACUUUUGUUCUUCUUAUUACAACCCUUGUGGUAUUUGCUCCAUUAGGAUUCUUUAAGAGGAUAGGUACAUUUUACAAUACAAUGAAUUCAAGUAUGUUAAAUGAUUUACCUCAAAUAGUGGGAUAAUUUUUAAAACAAAUAGUAUGUGAAAUAAGUCACGGGGGACUAGACAACACUGGAGACUAUCAACGGGGAUAAUAAAGCAAUCACUGAGGACUAGACAACAUUGACAAUUAUUAAAGCAAACACUGGGGAUUAGACAACAUUUACAAUUUUGACCGAAUACAAACAAAUAUUUGAUUGAAAUUAAUUUCCAAACAGCUCACGCUCCAACUUUUCCAACAACUCUUUCUUACGGCCAUCGAGAUGCUCUUCGGAACUUAACUUUAGAUACAUUUUCAUUUUCUUAGCUUCAGUCUUUUCUUUCAUCAAUUUGUUUUUCUCUUGUUUCACCAAGGUUAACUCUUUCAAUUGUUCAACCUCUUGCUCCUUUAAUUCUUUGAAUUCAACCCACUCCUUUUCCACCUCCUCCAAGAGAGCGUCCUUGCUUCUUUUUUUUUAGCUGCCUCCCUAUUCAUUGGACGAGCACUAGAUCCUACAGAGUUCUCGUGAGAUCUCUUAGAUCCACUACUUCUUGAGCCAAUAUUUCCUCCUACUUGACCACCAUAACGUGGUUGAUCACGGAGAGCGUGUCAUUCUUUCAUUAAAGUAAAUUGAACAUUCUUCCCACAUGCAUAUAAUUAUUGCGCUUUUGCCAAAACAUCAGUUCCCGACCAAUCGCUUCCUUGUAAACGCUUAGCGCCUUUAUAAGCACCAAUCCAUUUUUUAUGGACCAAAAUUUUAGAGGAAUUAAAACAAAAAAUUUAUAUAUUUAUAGGGACAAAAAAACAUAUUUAAUCUGUUAAUAAAAUACAUGAAAUAAUUUGAGACAUAUCAAUUCGGUGGUUUCAUCUUAACUUUAGUAAAAAAAAAAACGAACCUUAGAUAACCUUCCUCAACUUGUGCUUUUUAUCUAUCUGCUGUUUCAUCGUAGGGUUUCACCAAACGUAGAUUCCCAAAUUCUUGUAUCACAUCCGAUUCGGAACCGUAAAGCAGGUUAGUUAUUGGGAGAUUUCUGAAUCAAAAUUUGAUCUUUACUCUUCGUUUUUUCUGAUUGAAUUUGGUAGAUAGAUCUGAAAUGAAUUUGAAUGAAGUUAAAAGGCACAAGAAGUCUGAAUCACAUGAUGCUGCAAUUGUGCAAUGCUCAAGUAGUUCAAGUAAUCGUAAUCGGUUUUCAGAGCUCUCUCAAGACGUGAUGCUUGCUAUCCUUUGUUUAGUUCCUCUUAACUGUUUACUUAACUCUGCAAGGUACGUCUCCAAACAUUGGUCUACUGCUAUUCCAUCCUGCCUUCAACUUAAACCACCCGGUCUCUACGUUGAAAAUAUCAAGUCAGGUAGAGACUCUAAUUUCCUAGAUCAUGUCAAUGGACAAAAGUUUCAUUUCGGAAUGCCUUCAAAAAUGGGUACUUUAUUGAAUACAUGCCAUGGCAUAUUACUGCUUCAUAAAGGGAAUAGACUAACUUUUGCAGUAAACCCUAUCCUUAAGUCCUGCUUUAAAAUUCCAAUUUAUCCCACUCAUUCGAAAAGAACGAUUCAUUUUCGAUCUACUAUAGCACGUGUUCCCAACACUGCCCAAUUCAAGUUGUUCUUAAUAGAUGUUCUAAAUGUUGAGGGGGUUGAUUGGUAUGUUUUUUACGUCCUAAGAAUUGGAGUUGAUCACACAUGGAAAGAGAUAGCAACUAGAAAACAAGUUAUCCUUAAAUAUAAUUUUUUAUGGAAACCUGUUUAUAAUGGAGAAAAUCAUAUCUAUUGGAUAACAAAUGAUGGAGUUAAUGUCAUGGAUGUUGACAGGGAAAUUCUUAUAGGAGAGUAUCCACUCCCCUCUACACCAGUAAAUUCUUCUCUGUGGGGGGUUGUUUUAUGGAUGGGAGAUCGUCUUUCUUGGAUUCUUACCGUUGAAGGUAUUAGUAGCACUAUAACAUUAACAUAUCAAAUCUAUACUUUGGAUUUUGAUUUAGGAAAAUGGAAUCUUUAUCAUGAGAUGGGACCUUUUGAUUACGAGGCUGCUUGCGGCCACAAACUGGAUUUUGACAAUAUUAAAACGCUGUGCGCGAUAUUUCAUUUCUGGUUCAACGACCAAAUUUUCUUUACAACACUUAUCUAUUCAAAAAAAAACCGAAAUGGAUUUUCAGGCUUCAAAAGAGUAAAUUUUUGUUACAAUGUCAAGACUAGAGAACUGACAAAAAUUGAUGGCAUUGCAGUGGGUAAUUAUGAUGUAUGGCUUCAUACCAACACUCUAGUUUCGUUGCCAAGUGCUCCAACAUAGCUAGGUUUUCUGGUAUAAAAUAUGCGCUAUGUAGUAGUAUUUAUAUUUAUUUGUCUUGGUUGGCCAAACCAGAAAAGUAAGUAUUUAUGUUUCUAUUUAAUUAUCAUCUAGAUUGACCAUGGCCAAACAAAAGGUGAAGUUUUAAGGGGUUGUUUUAACUUAAUUAUUGGUGAUGCCUAGUAUGCUGCUUUCACCAGAUGCGAUCAUGAUGGGUCUCAUUGGAAAAACCAGCUAUUAUAAGUCAUACAGGUUUCAUUUUUUAAUGUGUAGUACAGGUUUUCUUUUCUAUUAUAUUAUACUAGUGUGUAUACCCGUGUCAAACAAGGGAUAGUUUUAGCAAAAUUCGGAUGAUUGAUGCAUGUGAGUAAGGAAAUAACUAAAGUUUAGUGUUAGAAAUUGAUAAACAAUUCUAGAUUAAGUAUAGGAAAGGGUAAUUUUUAGCAUAUCAAAUGAUUCAUAUUCACAAUGCAAGGUACUAUAAAUUUACAUAGCCAAUAAGGCUAUAGAUGAUGAAAAUAAAGCGGUUGAUUGAAUCAGAUUCUUAUAAAUCGAAUGCACAACUUGACAAAUGUCCAAAUUGAAUGAAAGUAUUUCUAGUAAAUGCAUUGAUUAAAGACUAUCAUGUUCAGACCAACAAUACAUUAAUUUUGCCGAGGAGAAAGAUAUUGAAUGAUUUUUCAAUUUACAAUAGCUUUCCUUGUACCGGUCUUGCAACUUUAAAAGGGUCCUGUUGCUAUCAGAAAUAAAGAAGGGUAUGCAUAAUUUUGGGGUGUUGAUGCCUCCUCAUUGUAACAAAUGUUACAGUUGAUUAAAGGCCAAGUCGGCAACAAUUUGCCUCCUCAUAACCAAAUACAAAGGUUUCAGAAUUCCAGAGGAUCAAGAGGCUUCAUAGUAUGUUCGCAAGGUCAAUGCUGAAAAUUGGAAGGUCGAGUAAUUUCUCAAAGACAACGUGACAAUCUAUUUCUAUAUGUUUAGGGUGUUCAUGAAAGGUAGAGUAAGCCACAAUGUGGUGAGCUGAUUUGCUGUCGCAAUAGAAGACAGCAGAAGAUAUGAAAGGUAAAGUAUCAGUUAAAGUAUCGUCUAAAAAAGUAUGCAAGUGUACAAUGGCAAAGAAAUCACUACUUAUCUAGUAUAAAAAGGAAAAAUAAAGUAGCAACUAUUUUUAUACUUUCAAUUUAAAGAUAUAAAAAGGGAAAAUAAAGUAGCAAUCAUUUUUUAUGCUUCCAAUUUAAAGAUACCAAUACUUGCAAUCAAUUUUGAAGUCUCAACAUCAUAUUGAAUAUUGGAUCCUUUUAAUCACCCUUUUUGCAAAUUGUUUUGGUUCAUUUUGUCAUGAGAUUUCUUCCAUCUCUGAGUAGAGUCUUUUCGUUACUAACCGAUGUUUGAUCAAUAGAGUCUCGAGCAUGUUUACGAUCAAUCUGGAUACCAGUAAAUGAAGUUAAAAAAUCCAUCUGGGGAAAAAUCAUAUGAAAGUCAUAUGGGGCCAUGACAACGCCACUCAGAUCCAACCUAUCCAGAUGGUUUAUGUAGUUGUCUGGUGUGCCCAAACCAAACAAUGGUACAAAAAGCAUCGCGCGUGGAUCUUGCUCCCGAUAGUUUGCCCAGACAUCCUUACUUCCCAUACCUUGGAAGCGCUGAUACACCCAAGCUUGCAACAAUGACAACCACAUAUAAAAUGCUACUAUAACAAUUAUGCAGAAUUAACCAAAGAAACCAUUACUCUUUGUCAGAAUGCCAUCUAAAAAAAUAAAAGUCAUUCUACUUAAAAGUUGAUUAGUGGAUUACCAUAAAAUCUUUGUUGGAGAAAGUAUGAUUUUGAGACACACUUGUUUGUUAAGUAACACAACCUCUUUAGCUAUUUGUUGCAGCUUUCAAUUGUGUGGUUUACUACAAUUAUUUGUGACAUAGAAUAAAGAGCAAUGAAAUUCAAAGACAGAUUAUACGAAUGUCACAAGAGCUAAGACUUACAUGAAAGCCUCAAAAUAUGUGUUCCCUAACCAUUCCAAUUUUAAAUACAUGUACCAUUAAUUUUCAGCUUUACUUGUGUUGAAUAAUCACAUACUCUUCCUUAAAUGAGGCUAAGAGAGUGUAAGUAAUGGGAGAUAAUAUUGAACCAAAAAUGGCAAGAGAGUUCUAUAAACUAGAUCAGUUCCCAGUUUCAACUCACAACAAUACUCUUCAAAAUAAAGAUCAAGUAUCCUAUCCAUAAGAUACUUCAAAAAUGUCAAUUCAUGAGAUCAUUGAUCUUACAAACUCCCCUCCUCCAUCACCACCUAUAUCUUCAUCCAAUGUACUACUUUUGGUGCCAACAACAGAAGGACACACCCCUCAAAUCCUAAUCAUCAUCACCGUACUACUUUGUUGAUACCAACAACUGCAGGACACAUUCCAAUAACUGGCACUAACCGUUACCUCAACCAAACACAUUCCAAUUCUCCAACCGUUCAAUGCUUAAUAGGAUUGCUCACAAUGUUAAUGUGCCAACUGUAAAGGAAACUCUCACUCUCUUACUAAAUAUAUCUUUCAGGCCUACUUAAUCCUCUGCGCCUUAACCACCACGCUUCAACCUUUCAAGAGCUUCAAGGCUAUAAUGUUAAUUACCAGAGUUCAGAAUCAAAAAUUAUUUUAUAAUUUCUCUAUAUUUAAAGACUAUUAUGCCUAUUCAUUAUAUAUUCACAUAAGAAAAUGACUAUUUAUCUCUAACAAACAAAGGAAAGGUGGUCCACCGACUAAAUUAACAUGAAAGGUGGUAUAUUUNCAUUUUUCUUCCAAUCACUCCCCAAAUCAGUUUACAGAUAUAAAUUAACUUUCUGUAUGCACUUAGAACCUAUUUCAAGCAUCAAAUUCACACUCCCAACUCCCAAAAUCAUCAUUCCAACAUAAAACACAAAAUCCCCAAUUUUCACCAAAACCUGUUAAACUCAAAAUCAGAAAUCAAUAACUACACUAUAUAGUAAACCUCACCCUUACCUUAAUUCAGAAUGAAAAAUGCACAGCAAAUGGAUUCUCUUGGGUUCUACUUGCGCUUCUCUUCUUUCUCCCAAAACUGACAGUUUUCACGUACAAAGCUUCUGACAUCUAAUUCCUAACUUCCCUCUUACUUAACUCCCUAUAUUUUCACUUAACUACCCAUUAAUUUUAAUAAAUUCUAUUAACUCCCCAAACACCAAAAUAAUUAUUAUUUCACACUUAAUCUAAUUAUUAUUAAAAUAAACCAUAUAAUAAAAUAACACACCACAUAAAUCACCAAAAAUCAUAUAUAUAUAUAUAUAUAUAUAUAUAUAGACUCCACAUAAAUCAAAUAAUUAAAUAUGACAACUAGGGCGUUACAUUUAAGAGAUUGCAUUUUAUGAAUGAGGCUUUCCUAAUGAAGAUGAUAUGAAACCACAUUAACAAAAUGAGCUCUGGAGUAAAAUCCUUAUUAGUAAUUAUGAAAGAAGUAACGAUCUCACGAGUUCUUGCAACUCCCGACCUUAUGAUUCUCCUUUGUGGAGGGGAUUUGGAGUGAUUUCCAGUGCAAUGUGGUUUGAAAAAUCGAAAAUGGUUGAAGGACUUAUUUCUAGCUAGAUGUGUUCCUAAAGAGGAUGUGAUCCUCACCUUAGCUUCUCAAAACCUCAUUGAUACCACUAUUUCUUUGUGGUAUGCAUUGACUCAUGAGGGAAAUCGAGACUCGAAUUAUGCAGAAUAAUUUAUCGGCUAAUAUUUUGUAGCAAGUGAUUGUUUUUGCGGCCCUUAAUGAUGUUGACGGGCCUGAUGCAAUGGGAUUUGGAGGCAGUAAUACUCACCAAUUUACUAGUCAGAGUGAUUAUACGUUACAACAUGGGGAUAUCCACGCCCUGGAGGAAGAUUGGAAGUCUUUAUAGGAUUGAAGAGGACUUCAUUGUAUCCAAACUUUCGUCAAUUGGUGGCUCCAUAGCACAUCCUCACCAAUUUCUGGAGAAGCAAGUGGGGAGUGGUCAUAUCUCUGCUUUGUACUAGAUGUGGAGAGAGGAUGAGACAACCGUUCAUAUGCUUCAAGACUAUGUUUACACUACUCAAGUAUGGCUAUGUUUGGUUCUAGAUAAUUUUAUAACUAAUUUUUUUAUUCUUGAUUGUAGGAACUAGAUUUUCAAUAACAUUAACAAGUUGGGUAUUGGCGCAACUACCACGAGCUAAAAGAAAACUUUCACGACCACAUGUUGGUUCAUGUGGAGAAUCAAAGCUAUUUUUAAUGAAGAUUUUCAACUGUUGAACAACCCUGUCUUGACGAUCCAAAAUUUUACUAGAGAAUUAGACUCGUGUUAGACCCAACCGCCUCAGCGCAAUAUUCAGAUAAAAGAGACAUAUAGGUUGGAAAGUCCUUUUGAAGGUUGGAUAAAACUCAAGAGUGAUGGUGCUUACAAAGGAGGUGGGGAGUAUUCAAGAUGUGGUGGCCUUUUCUGCAACUCUAAAUAGAUAUGAUUAAAGGCUACAUACAUAAGAUUGAAGUGUGUAACGCACUUAAUGCUGAAAUGUGGGGCAUGCAUCUUGGUUUGGAUAUGGCUUGACGAGGGCGUAUUCUGCAACUCAUUGUGGAAAGUGAUUCUAAUUUUUUUUAGUAAUAUGACUACAUAUAAUUGCAAGUUUAGUGGUCGGUUUCCACAUUGGUGCAGCGUAUUCACAAUCUUUUGACUUUGUAUGAUGCGUCCAAUUUCUUCAUAGAUGGAGGAAGACAAUCAAUGUGCUGAUUUACCAACUAAUUUUAGCCAAUCUUUAGACUCUUUAAAUUAUACUAGAAUGUAGACUCUGCCUAAUAAACUUCAUAGAUUUAUUUUUGAUGAUAUCUUCAAGGUUCGCAUGUCAAAAAAUGUUAAGCUAAUUUCUUAAUUUUUAUGUUGGACCUUUGAAUCUCUUUAAUUUGGUAAAAAUAAAUAAUAAAAAAUCAACAAUUGUAUUCAAUUAUUGAUCCAAGAGAAUUUACAAACACGUUGUUUCCGGCUGUCAAAAGAAGCUUAGAAGCACGUUGGCUUCCAAAUUUCGCUCAACUUAACAAUUUUAAAAGAAGAAAACAUAACAAUUUUUCUCAUUCCUUUUUUAUUAAUACAUAAUAUAUUUUCUUUUUAAAAAUUUCAAGCUCAUUUCAGUUCUUUGGGAUUUGGAUAAAAACAAGGAUGAGUUGGUCCACCGACCGAAAUCUAAUAAAUAUUGGGUUUGAAGUGAAGUCAAUAUAAACAAAAGGAUAAUUAAAAAGUUACACCAAUAUUGAUGUAAGUUUUUUACUAUUAUUUUUGUUUAUAUUUCAUUAUGUUUGAAAGAUGUGGCUUAAAAUACAUAGUAUAUUGCCUUCCAAAUUCCAUAACGGUAAUGCAAUCAACUACGUGGUAUGCGAUAAUUUAUCUUUUUAUUUAUAUUUUUGCAUCCAAACUAAGUUAAGUGAUUAUGUAUGCAAAUUUUCGAUUUUUUAACGAAUCUAAUGACAAAUUUCACACAACAAAUAUGAAAAGGAUGGAAAUUGCAAAUCGAGCCGAUCAUCACAUCAAAUAUCUCUGCAAAAUUUUACGACGACGUACAUUUGCGGAUCACAAAUUUCGGACUCUAUUUUAUAAUGAGUGUCAUUGUAUAUUAAGUAUAAUAUCAAUUAUCUUCUUAUAAUUUUAUGUCUAAAUUAGUACUAUGGAAAUUACUUUUAUUUGUUGUACUUCACUUUUAUUUAUGACAAUAAAUAUUGCCCAAUUGUUCUUUUCAAAAAUAACAAUAAUUUUGUAAGACCAUCACACUUUUCCUUUAUUUACCAUUUUUCUUAAUCUUUUGAAAAGAAAGUUAAAUGUCAAAGUCAAAUGAGGCAAAAGAAGCAAGCAUACACACUUUAGGUGAUAAUAAUUGAGAUAUUUUAAGAAAUAAUAUAACAUCGAAAAAAUCAUCAAUUUGAUCCCUAAGCCAUCUCUUCCCAAUUUAAUCUCUAAAUUAUAAAAAUAUUGUCCUUAAAUUAUUUUUAGUCAAAUAAGAUAGUCCUUGGAUUAUCAUUCUUUUUAAAAUAAAAAAAAAAUACAUACCUAAUAUGCCAGAUUAAUAAUAAUUUAAGGACUACUUAUUAUAUUGUUAUAGUUUAAGGAACAAAUUAGUAAGAGAGUGAUAAUUUAGAUGCGUUGUACUUAUAAUAUAAUGCAUAGUAACUAACUUUAUAGAAUAAAUAUGUAUGAGUACAUAUCAUAUGGUGACAAGUAAGAGAGAGAAGCAUUAAGCAAAUCAUCACUAAGAAUUGAGAUAAUCAUCAAUAUGGGGAUACAAAACAAUCCAACAGGAACAAACGAAAUUGUUGGAGAACAAUAUUGUCCAUUGCUACAAACUAAAACAGAUGAGAAAAUUGAAGUUGAAAUUGAACAUGGUGAUGAUGGAUCAAAUAGUAACAAGAAUAAUGAAUCAGCAGCAUCAUUUUCUGGUUCUGUGUUCAAUCUAUCAACAACUAUUAUUGGUGCUGGAAUCAUGGCUUUACCUGCAGCCAUGAAAGUUUUGGGACUAACAAUUGGUAUUGCUUCAAUCAUAUUCCUUGCUUUGCUUAAUCAUACCUCUUUGGAUAUUCUCAUGAGGUUUAGUAGAGUUGCUAAGGCUCAAUCUUAUGGUGAUGUCAUGGGAUAUGCUUUUG
This 9646-nucleotide long non-coding RNA is filed under the name Medicago truncatula (barrel medic). RNAcentral describes it as "long non-coding RNA (MTRU_LNC006351)". The record is from RNAcentral. Lineage: Eukaryota; Viridiplantae; Streptophyta; Magnoliopsida; Fabales; Fabaceae.